Molecule: non-coding RNA, 568 nt
Organism: Cucurbita pepo subsp. pepo (vegetable marrow)
Lineage: Eukaryota; Viridiplantae; Streptophyta; Magnoliopsida; Cucurbitales; Cucurbitaceae
Source: RefSeq, a predicted model, not a curated record
GUACCGACAUUGACAAGAUUCGCCACUAAAAUGCCAAUUGUGAUGGCCAUUUGAAAGCCCAUGUUCAGAGCACCUCUGAUUUUGGUUGGAGCCAUUUCAGAAAGGUAAACUGGCACAGACUGCACGCCAAAAAACAUACCUGAUUCGCAAAUCCAACACCCACACCAAGCAGCAAACGGCCAAUGAUGAGCAGCACAAUGCUAUUGGCAACACCAUUAAGGAUGGAGCCAAUCAAGAAUGAAAGACCUCCAAAAAACAUGGAUGGUUUUCGGCCAAAUUUCCGGGUGAUGAUCGAGGCACCAAAGGAUGCCACCAGAGCAGCCAGGUAAAGAGAAGAGGGAAAUCCCCAAGUUGCUAGGAAGGGUGGGAGGAGAUGUUUCAAGUUGGAGGAUGUUUCCCGAUGAUCACAUUAUGCAGAUUCAACUGGUAAAACUUGGCGGAUCAGUCCUGAUGAUGUGAGUUUAUUAGGAAAUGCCUAUAGAUUCCAUUCACUCUAUAAUUGUUAUAAAAUAUAUUGUAUAUGAAUCUCAUAAUCAUGCUCUAAAUAUAUUCUUAUUUAUAAAUAUUG